GCAGAUUUUGGAGUCACAACAACAAGAACAAAUAAGAAAAGCAUAAAUGAUAUAAAAAAGAAGAUGUGGUAUGAUUGCCAAUGAGACAACUAUCCACAAAAAACCAAAAUGACACAGACAUUAACAACUAUAGGUCACUGUAUGGCCUUCAACAAUGAGCAAAGCCCAUACCACAUAGUCAGCUAUAAAAGGCCCCGAUACGACAAGGUAAAACAAUUCAAACGAGAAAAUUAACGGCCUUAUUUAUGUAAAAAAAAAUGAACGAAAAACAAAUAUGUAACACAUAAACAAACGAC
This 296-nucleotide long non-coding RNA is filed under the name Mytilus galloprovincialis (Mediterranean mussel). Lineage: Eukaryota; Metazoa; Mollusca; Bivalvia; Mytilida; Mytilidae. The record is from RNAcentral.